Molecule: long non-coding RNA, 251 nt
Filed under: Olea europaea (common olive)
Lineage: Eukaryota; Viridiplantae; Streptophyta; Magnoliopsida; Lamiales; Oleaceae
Description: long non-coding RNA (OEUR_LNC008943)
Source: RNAcentral
UUAAUUUUCCUAAAGUUUAAAAUAUCCUCGCAUAGUGGAGCUAUAAAAUACGGAGCCGGGGGCGCCAGCAGACACCCGGCCACAGGGGGCGCCACAUCGCCCCCUGUUUGGACAGGGCGUUGUCCAAGAAGAAAAACCCGAAAAUUAAAGCUUGAGAUCUGACCUUUUCAGAAUGUAGCAAAUAAGUUUCCAAUUCCAUCCUAAUGAUUUUGAGUAAUGCCUGACCCAGCCAUCCACCAUUCAGAUUUUUC